CAGCAGCCGCGGGAAUACGGAAGGUCCGGGCGUUAUCCGGAUUUAUUGGGUUUAAAGGGAGCGUAGGCCGCCCCUUAAGCGUGUUGUGAAAUGCGGGUGCUCAACAUCCGACUUGCAGCGCGAACUGGGGGGCUUGAGUGCGCCGAAAGUAGGCGGAAUUCGUGGUGUAGCGGUGAAAUGCUUAGAUAUCACGAAGAACUCCGAUUGCGAAGGCAGCUUACUGUAGCGCAACUGACGCUGAUGCUCGAAAGCGUGGGUAUCGAACAGGAUUAGAUACCCGCGUAGUCCCUGUCUCUUAUAC
This 301-nucleotide ribosomal RNA is filed under the name uncultured bacterium. RNAcentral describes it as "partial 16S ribosomal RNA". It matches the Rfam family "Bacterial small subunit ribosomal RNA", at positions 509 to 807 of the family's 1533-position model. The record is from RNAcentral.